CCUACGGGAGGCAGCAGUGAGGAAUAUUGGUCAAUGGGCGGAAGCCUGAACCAGCCAAGUCGCGUGAGGGAGUAAGGCCCUACGGGUCGUAAACCUCUUUUGCCGGGGAGCAGUGCCCAGCUCGUGAGCUGGGAGGGAGCGUACCCGGAGAAAAAGCAUCGGCUAACUCCGUGCCAGCAGCCGCGGUAAUACGGAGGAUGCGAGCGUUAUCCGGAUUUAUUGGGUUUAAAGGGUGCGUAGGCGGACAGUCAAGUCAGCGGUAAAAAUGCGGUGCUCAACGCCGUACAGCCGUUGAAACUGGCAGUCUUGAGUGGGCGAGAAGUAUGCGGAAUGCGUGGUGUAGCGGUGAAAUGCAUAGAUAUCACGCAGAACUCCGAUUGCGAAGGCAGCAUACCGGCGCCCUACUGACGCUGAGGCACGAAAGCGUGGGUAUCGAACAGGAUUAGAUACCCGGGUAGUC
This 460-nucleotide ribosomal RNA is filed under the name uncultured bacterium. RNAcentral's name for it is "partial 16S ribosomal RNA". It matches the Rfam family "Bacterial small subunit ribosomal RNA", at positions 338 to 795 of the family's 1533-position model. The record is from RNAcentral.